Molecule: ribosomal RNA, 934 nt
Filed under: Clostridium haemolyticum
Lineage: Bacteria; Bacillati; Bacillota; Clostridia; Eubacteriales; Clostridiaceae
Description: bacterial SSU rRNA
Rfam family: Bacterial small subunit ribosomal RNA
Source: RNAcentral
CUUAACCUGGGCGCUGCAUUUGAAACUGGGCAUCUAGAGGGGUGCAGGAGAGGAAAGUGGAAUUCCUAGUGUAGCGGUGAAAUGCGUAGAGAUUAGGAAGAACACCAGUGGCGAAGGCGACUUUCUGGACUGUAACUGACACUGAGAUACGAAAGCGUGGGUAGCAAACAGGAUUAGAUACCCUGGUAGUCCACGCCGUAAACGAUGAAUACUAGGUGUCGGGGGGUACCACCCUCGGUGCCGCAGCAAACGCAUUAAGUAUUCCGCCUGGGGAGUACGGUCGCAAGAUUAAAACUCAAAGGAAUUGACGGGGACCCGCACAAGCAGCGGAGCAUGUGGUUUAAUUCGAAGCAACGCGAAGAACCUUACCUAGACUUGACAUCUCCUGAAUUACUCUUAAUCGAGGAAGUCCCUUCGGGGACAGGAAGACAGGUGGUGCAUGGUUGUCGUCAGCUCGUGUCGUGAGAUGUUGGGUUAAGUCCCGCAACGAGCGCAACCCUUAUUGUUAGUUGCUACUAUUAAGUUAAGCACUCUAACGAGACUGCCGCGGUUAACGUGGAGGAAGGUGGGGAUGACGUCAAAUCAUCAUGCCCCUUAUGUCUAGGGCUACACACGUGCUACAAUGGCUGGUACAACGAGCAGCAAACCCGCGAGGGGGAGCAAAACUUGAAAGCCAGUCCCAGUUCGGAUUGUAGGCUGAAACUCGCCUACAUGAAGUUGGAGUUGCUAGUAAUCGCGAAUCAGCAUGUCGCGGUGAAUACGUUCCCGGGUCUUGUACACACCGCCCGUCACACCAUGAGAGCCGGUAACACCCGAAGCCCGUGAGGUAACCGUAAGGAGCCAGCGGUCGAAGGUGGGAUUGGUGAUUGGGGUGAAGUCGUAACAAGGUAGCCGUAGGAGAACCUGCGGCUGGAUCACCUCCUUUCUAGGGAGA